UUCUUAUCCAGAGAGAUCGAGGGAUCAGGCCCUAUGACGUCUCGGCAACGGGUUUACACAAAUACCGUGCCAAUUCCUGCAAACGCCUAUGAGCGUUUGGAAGAUGAGAA
RNAcentral lists this non-coding RNA (110 nucleotides) under Terribacillus aidingensis. RNAcentral describes it as "SAM-I sequence". It matches the Rfam family "SAM riboswitch aptamer (S box leader)". From Rfam's summary of the family: The SAM riboswitch is found upstream of a number of genes which code for proteins involved in methionine or cysteine biosynthesis in Gram-positive bacteria. The SAM riboswitch acts at the level of transcription termination control. The record is from Rfam by way of RNAcentral. Lineage: Bacteria; Bacillati; Bacillota; Bacilli; Caryophanales; Bacillaceae.